GAAAUGCGAUAAGUAAUGUGAAUUGCAGAAUUCAGUGAAUCAUCGAAUCUUUGAACGCACCUUGCGCUCCUUGGUAUUCCUUGGAGCAUGCCUGUUUGAGUAUCAUGAAAUCUUCAAAGUAAAUCUUUUGUUAACUCAAUUGGUUUCUACUUUGGUAUUGGAGGUCUUUGCAGCUUCACACCUGCUCCUCUUUGUUCAUUAGCUGGAUCUCAGUGUUAUGCUUGGUUCCACUCGGCGUGAUAAGUUAUCUAUCGCUGAGGACACUGUAAAAGGUGGCCAAGGUAAAGGCAGAUGAACCGCUUCUAAUAGUCCAUUGACUUGGACAAUACUUUUAUGAUCUGAUCUCAAAUCAGGUAGGACUACCCGCUGAACUUAAGC
This 378-nucleotide unclassified non-coding RNA is filed under the name plant metagenome. Its description in RNAcentral is "partial contains 5.8S ribosomal RNA, internal transcribed spacer 2, and large subunit ribosomal RNA". The stretch from base 1 to 105 matches the Rfam family "5.8S ribosomal RNA", at positions 50 to 154 of the family's 154-position model. The record is from RNAcentral.